GACGAACGCUGGCGGCGUGCCUAAUACAUGCAAGUCGAACGCAGUUGCGAACGGGUGAGUAACGCUUAGUUAACUUCCUCAUAGCGGGGGAUAACUAUUGGAAACGAUAGCUAAUACCGCAUACUGUGAGCUGGACCUGCGUUGUAUUAGGUAGUUGGUGAGGUAAAGGCUCACCAAGGCGACGAUACAUAGCCGACCUGCUAGGGUGAACGGCCAAAAUGGGAACGGGGAAAGGCCCAGAAUUCUAAGGGAGGCAGGAGGAGGGAAUUUUCGGAAAUGGACGGAAGUCUGAACGAGCAAAGGCGCGGGAGUGAAGAAGGGUUUCGGAUCGUAAAGCUAUGUUGUUAGAGAAGCGGUAACGAACCAGAAAGGGACGGAUAACUACGUGCCAGCAGCCGCGGUAAUAC
RNAcentral lists this ribosomal RNA (407 nucleotides) under uncultured bacterium. RNAcentral describes it as "partial 16S ribosomal RNA". It matches the Rfam family "Bacterial small subunit ribosomal RNA", at positions 28 to 526 of the family's 1533-position model. The record is from RNAcentral.